This 112-nucleotide ribosomal RNA is filed under the name Paraprevotella xylaniphila. The record is from RNAcentral. Lineage: Bacteria; Pseudomonadati; Bacteroidota; Bacteroidia; Bacteroidales; Prevotellaceae.
UUUGGUGGCUAUAGCAGCGGUGUUCCACCUCUUCCCAUCCCGAACAGAGAAGUUAAGCCCGCUCACGCCGAUGGUACUGCCCGCAAGGUGGGAGAGUAGGUAGUCGCCUUUU